RNAcentral lists this ribosomal RNA (477 nucleotides) under Triticum aestivum (bread wheat). RNAcentral's name for it is "partial small subunit ribosomal RNA". Lineage: Eukaryota; Viridiplantae; Streptophyta; Magnoliopsida; Poales; Poaceae. The record is from RNAcentral.
AUGCAGCCUAUCCACCUCAGCGAUCUGCCACAUCAGCGCCUCCCAACAAACCUUCAACCUUGGAAAAUAAUGAUCAGUUCUGAUUUUCCUUUUUCUUUGACCAAACCCCAUUUAGAUUGUGCGAGUUCGGUUUUCUUCGCCAUUAAACUCUCAACGACAUGCAUCCCAUUAAUCCAGCCUACAUGCAGACCAUUAUUAGAUGCUCACCAAAUCCACAAAAAACUAUUGCACACAACAACGAAAAAAGAAAGUGAUGGAGGCAUACGAGAAGUUCCACUGGAAUUUUGGGUGGUCACCCAAUGUCAUCUCUUCCCAUUCCUACAUCUUCUAUAUAAGUUGCAAACAGCAUCUUUUAGGAAUCAAUCUUUUCUCCAUCCCAGUUUUACAAAGGGAUUACUCCUUCUCCUUGCCCAACAACCAUCAUCCGCCAUGGCCCAGGCAAUCUUCUCACCACCAUUCCCUGCUCGGGGACAUUGA